This is a long non-coding RNA of Pipistrellus kuhlii (Kuhl's pipistrelle), 1030 nucleotides long. RefSeq lists it as uncharacterized. The transcript is spliced from 3 exons. The record is from RefSeq and is a predicted model, not a curated record. Lineage: Eukaryota; Metazoa; Chordata; Mammalia; Chiroptera; Vespertilionidae.
AUAUAAUUUUUGGUCCUUGUUGACAAUUAAUGUAAUUUUUAAAUAAUGUUCAAGUUAAGAGUUUGGCAGCUGAAACAAAAUAUGCCCGAGGCUGGACACUCAUAGAAACCUCUUGUCACUAACUGGAUGGAGACCUCCCAUUCCCUGAGAACUCAUGGGGAGGAAUCUAUGGAGCCUGGAGGCAUUGUGGAGGUCUGCAGGACACAGGGAAGAACUCUCCCAUCAUGCAAGGGAGAAAAUGCAAUGCUCUACUGGCCUCUGUCAGGGAAGCUAACAUUUCCCCCUCUCCCGUGCAAGUUUUCCAAACCACAGGAUUCUGAUUUCCAGAGGAGAGGAACAGCUUUUUAAGAGUGAGGCCCUCAAACCUUUCCAGGCUGCCUGGACAAAGGUUUGGAAUGACUACAAUAGUGAACCAUCCUGCCUUGGACCCGAAUCUAGAUUGAUGACCUAAUACAUCUCUGCCUGCCAUAGCUUUAUGAGCAUCAAGAACUGGGCGCUUGCCACUAUCAACAAACAGAGCUUCCCCAGAGCUUAGCCAUCCACAGAAACUCAAGUAUCCCCCCAAGCACCGCUCACACAGCCUCCCCGGGCUCGCCGCGCUUCCUCUAGCUUUCACCACAUGUGACAUGGAAACUCCUCUUUGCCAGGAUCACUCUUAAAGGAAAGGAAGUAUGCCCGUUCCUCUCCGGUGUCAUCUUGGUUUUUUAACAGAGCGAUCACUGAGAAGCUAAGGCAGCUUAGUCUCAGCAUCCUCCUUCUCCAGGGCCCCUCAUUUUGUAUUUGUACCUUUGCAUUCUUUUUUUGUCAAAAAGAAUCCCCUCAGUUGUAGAAGCUAUAGACCAUCCCCUCCACGCUCCGCUCCCCCAAAUUGGGAUCUGCUCUUCAACCCAAGAGAACUGACACUAAGUCUUAUCUUGAUGACAGUGUAAAAAUUGAACACAAACUCUUUCUCGUCUUUUAUGGACAUCACCUACCCCUGGCCUGUCACCAGGAAGGAUGAGAUCUCUUAGUUUGAGCCUCUGGUCCUCAG